UACAGAGGGUGCGAGCGUUAAUCGGAAUUACUGGGCGUAAAGCGCACGUAGGUGGCGACGUAAGUCGGGUGUGAAAGCCCCGGGCUCAACCUGGGAAUUGCAUUCGAGACUGCAUUGCUCGAGUACGGAAGAGGAAGGCGGAAUUCCCGGUGUAGCGGUGAAAUGCGUAGAUAUCGGGAGGAACAUCAGUGGCGAAGGCGGCCUUCUGGUCCAGUACUGACACUCAGACGCGAGAGCUAGGGGAGCGAACGGG
RNAcentral lists this ribosomal RNA (253 nucleotides) under uncultured prokaryote. Its description in RNAcentral is "partial 16S ribosomal RNA". It matches the Rfam family "Bacterial small subunit ribosomal RNA", at positions 524 to 776 of the family's 1533-position model. The record is from RNAcentral.